ACAGGUUCUGUUUCUGCUCUGAAUGAUUUUUAUACGUUUAACUCCAGCAGGGGGCGCUCUGCUCUCCUUCUGUGGGUCUGUGUCCCUUCAGGCCCACGACUGAAGCCCGGUUCUGUCUCAUCUAGAUGGCCCAAAAACUUCUUCAGAACCAGCGAGAAAUUUUUAGUUUUUAACCAUAUUUCCCAGAAUUAAAACUUUUAUAUGAAGGUUUCUGAUACAAAGUGAAACAAACUGGACCCGUCCAGAAAAGGUUCUGCUUCCUUUGACCAGCUGACACCAAGCAGAGUCACUCUGCAGCAGAUUAUUCAGCGUUAUUUAAAUUAUUGCAGUAAUGUACUCAGUAACUGAGCUUUAAUGUUAAGUAUUUUUUAUUUCACUUCAUGCAGUUCUGUAGGAUCCACCUUCAUGUUCUGAAGAACAUCUAAAGCGGGUUAGCUGGACUUUCUUUCAGAGAACAAACAGCCGAGUUUGCUUCUUUGCUGCAGAUGUUCUGGAGGUUCUGUUCUGGAGGUUCUGUUUGAAUACCCGUUAAAAACCUUUUAAUGAAGUUCCUGACAGGUCACCUGACUCACCUGUUAACCUGCUGGAGAAAGUUUUCACCCCUUUAACAGAACCAGAACCGGGUUUGUUUCCUUAAUGCUCUCAUCUGUAAAGGAUUGAAUAAGUUCUGUGAGUUAACAAUGAACUUUCUGUGUUCUGGUUCUGGUUCUAACCCAGCCCAGAGUGGGUUAACCUGUGCAGGAUGCUUCCUACUCAGAACCCAGGAGAUAGUUCAGGUUCCGACUGAACCCACAACGGGUUCCUUCAGUGUUUUCAUGUCAACUUUUCCAAUUUUAAUUUAAUGUUGGGUUCUGCAAAGAUAGAACCCAACAGAGUUGGAUCUCCAGACCCAGCAGGUUCCUGAUGAAGGAACUCUGGAACCAAGUGUUUGCUUCAUCAGAUCUCCAAGAACCCAAACAUCUGGUUCUGUUCAUUUAUGGUCCAAAAUCUGGUUCUAAAGUCUUCCUGAGGUUCCUUCAGUGAAACUCUCCAGACCGACAUGUUCACUGAGGUUCUACUGAGCCGGGUUCCAUCAUCAGAACCACGUAGUGAGCCGGGUUCCAUCAUCAGAACCACGUCUCUGAACAAACCUGAAGCCAUGCUCCCUAAACUCAGACUUUUAUGGAUUUUAAAAACAUGAACUGGUUCUUAAGGUGUUUUUGUUUUCUGGGACUUGGGUUGGUUCUCCAGAACUUGAGCUCCUCUGUUUCUUCAGGAUCUGCUGGAGAAGGUCUUCCAGGACGGACUUCUGACACCUGAGCAGGUUACUGAGUGUCUGCUGGAAGAUCUUCAGCAGGAACUGAAGCUGAAGCUCAGCAGCCCAUCGGUUCUGGAGAGCUGCAGGAGCGUGCACGUGAGCGUGCACGUGAGAAUACCAAAGACUCCAGAACAUUUUCAUCCUUUAAGAGGAAAACAUUUGCCAGAUUUCUUUUUCUGCCUUAAAGUUCCAGUGAAAAUAUGAAUUUAACAGGUUUUAUAUUUUAAAUUUAACUGAAAAUAAAGAUGUUUUUGA
This is a long non-coding RNA of Fundulus heteroclitus (mummichog), 1552 nucleotides long. RefSeq lists it as uncharacterized. The transcript has 2 exons. The record is from RefSeq and is a predicted model, not a curated record. Lineage: Eukaryota; Metazoa; Chordata; Actinopteri; Cyprinodontiformes; Fundulidae.